This 1679-nucleotide long non-coding RNA is filed under the name Arabidopsis lyrata. RNAcentral's name for it is "long non-coding RNA (ALYR_LNC001472)". The record is from RNAcentral. Lineage: Eukaryota; Viridiplantae; Streptophyta; Magnoliopsida; Brassicales; Brassicaceae.
ACUACCAAAUCUCUAAAGUCUCUCUGAGCUACCACAUGGAUAUAUAUUAUUCCAAGUGGAACAUCUUUUUUUUUUUUUUUCCGUCUGAAGAUUUCAUUGAUAUAAUGCGGUAGAGUUAUACAUAGCCGACAAGAAUCGAAAUCCUUUCGGAAACUAGGCCGGCGGGUACAUAGAAACCCCCAGAGACUAAGGCCGAAAAAUGCAAGCUAAGGCCGAAAAAGGCGAGCUAAGGCCGAAAAGGGCGAGCUAACAGAAAACCUUAGGCAAUAGAUUACAUGGAAAACAACUAAGGGGAAAAAAGCUAAAGACUCCAAAGCAAACAAACUGCAAACUCUUCCCAACAAGCAGUCGACUAACACUUCCAUAGAACAUUUUGGCGCUGAAGAGAGGUUACUGACAGGAGCCUCGGAACCGAGAGGGAAAUAAAACCUAGCUCACACAACCAUCUCCACAGUAGAAACGAAGACGACGAACAAGAAGAUCAAAGCACAGAACCUAACCACAACGACCACUUUAGUGCCAAUGAAAACGAGAAGGCGGAGGCUCAAGGAGAAACCUUGAAAUCUGAGAGGGGAAACGCCAAAUAGGACCACCCAUCCUUACACACGGACCUUCGUAGACCCAGCCAAAGCCACCUACAGACUAAUGACUGGUUACGCCACGCAAAGAGAAGGAUAAGAGAUCGACCCACCACAACGUCCAAAACUCAACCAGGAAACCAAACGAGCUUCCAAGAGAGAGCUAGUAGAUGCCAUUAUAGGAGGCUAGCAUCCGAAUGAAGAGCCCACAAAACAGAACCUAUCGCCAAAUCACCACACAGCAAAUCAAGACGGAAAACAGAAGAGAGGCCGAGCAAGGAGUCAAAACAAGCCUUCCCAAAAGCAGAACCUAAGGCUUUCAACCACAACAAGUAGAGAAACACACAACACAAACCAUAGAAGUCACUCACCACCUAUAGAGGAAUAACCCGAAACGAUGAAGCCGAUGUCACAAAACCAAAGGGAUCUUCGUAGCCAUGUCGUGGAAACGAAAAGCUGACUAAAUACAAGCCUCCAACGAGACAGCACCACCGCAAAGCCAACAAAUUCCAAGAACAAAACUCACAAGACACCACCUCGAAAGCAACCGGAGCAUACAACAAGACACCAGCGACUCCCAAUCCAACGAGAACAGAGCCAAAGGACCAGAUUGUCGAGACAUUAGAACUAGAUCGGGAACCAAAAAACCUCCAAGAUCAGAUCAGACAAGAAGGAACCACCGGGGAACAGAUCCUUCAAUGAACCUCACCGAUCCGCCACCAAAUCUCUGAGAUAGUCACCACGCUGGUAGGAACCACCAUCGCCGAGAGAAAAGGAAGAAGGAAGGAGACGACGAAGCUACGGUUUGUCAAAUCAAAAAAGACAAACAAGAACCAACAAAGAAAGGAAGCAGAUGGGACCGACGAUGGUGCUGUGGAAGCCACCCAUCGCCGGCCAUCGGAGAGGAGUUUUGCUUGGCGGCUAGGGCGAAUUAGGAGAGAGGAGAGAGCCAAUCGCCUAUGUUUAUAUAGAGUACUGAGUGGAACAUCUUAUAAGUUAGGACUUAGGACUAUACCUCUCUUCUUCAAAUAUAUAGUAUUAAAGAAACUUUUGCCAAUUGAUAUCUACAUUAAGAUUUUGAAAGAUUGUGCAUAAUUAUAU